UUUAUAUUUUUAUCCAUUCAGCAAUUUAUCAAACUUUUCCUCUAUUAUCCGCUUCGUUUUGGGAUCUUGAUUCUAUGCUGACCCAUUUUCAACUCUGGGAAGAGAUGGUCCAUAUUAGUUUGUCAUUUGACCACAGCUAUGCUGAAGCACUGCC
Octopus sinensis (East Asian common octopus) is the source of this 154-nucleotide long non-coding RNA. RefSeq lists it as uncharacterized. The transcript is spliced from 3 exons. Lineage: Eukaryota; Metazoa; Mollusca; Cephalopoda; Octopoda; Octopodidae. The record is from RefSeq and is a predicted model, not a curated record.